This 463-nucleotide ribosomal RNA is filed under the name Dyakia hugonis. Its description in RNAcentral is "partial large subunit ribosomal RNA". It matches the Rfam family "Bacterial large subunit ribosomal RNA", at positions 1796 to 2615 of the family's 2925-position model. The record is from RNAcentral. Lineage: Eukaryota; Metazoa; Mollusca; Gastropoda; Stylommatophora; Dyakiidae.
UCGCCUGUUUAUCAAAAACAUAGCUUUAUGAAAUUUAUAUUAAGUUUUGCCUGCCCAGUGAUAAAUUUUAACGGCCGCAGUACUUUGACUGUGCUAAGGUAGCAUAAUAAAUUGGCUUUUAAUUGAAGUCUAGAAUGAAAGGAUAAUAUGAAUAUGAGCUGUCUUAUUUAAAAUAAAUUGAAAUUACUUAAAAAGUGAAAAUUCUUUUAUAUUAUUUAAUAGACGAGAAGACCCUAGGAGUUUUAAAUUUUGUUGGGGCAACAUUAUAGGAUUAUAAACCUAUAAUAAAUAAAUUUAAAAUAUUACUAUAAUUUUAAUUAAAUAUAAACUACCCUAGGGAUAACAGCAUAAUUAUUUUAUUUUUAGUUUGUGACCUCGAUGUUGGAUUAGGAACUUUUAAUGUUAACAUCAUUAUUUGGUUGUUCUGUUCGAACAGUUGUUACCUACGUGAUCUGAGUUCAGA